RNAcentral lists this ribosomal RNA (465 nucleotides) under uncultured bacterium. RNAcentral describes it as "partial 16S ribosomal RNA". It matches the Rfam family "Bacterial small subunit ribosomal RNA", at positions 28 to 507 of the family's 1533-position model. The record is from RNAcentral.
GACGAACGCUGGCGGCGUGCUUAACACAUGCAAGUCGAACGGAAAGGCCCUGCUUGCCGGGUACUCGAGUGGCGAACGGGUGAGUAACACGUGGGUGAUCUGCCCUGCACUUCGGGAUAAGCCUGGGAAACUGGGUCUAAUACCGGAUAGGAGCCAUUUUUAGUGUGAUGGUUGGAAAGUUUUUUCGGUGUAGGAUGAGCUCGCGGCCUAUCAGCUUGUUGGUGGGGUAAUGGCCUACCAAGGCGGCGACGGGUAGCCGGCCUGAGAGGGUGGACGGCCAAAAUUGGGCUGGGAGACGGCCCAGACUCCCACGGGGGGCAAGAGGGGGGAAUAUUGCACAAUGGGCGCAAGCCUGAUGCAGCGACGCCGCGUGGGGGAUGACGGGCUUCGGGUUGGAAACGCCUUUCGCUAGGGACGAAGCUUUUUGUGACGGUACCUAGAGAAGAAGCACCGGCUAACUACGUG